This 338-nucleotide unclassified non-coding RNA is filed under the name soil metagenome. Its description in RNAcentral is "partial contains 5.8S ribosomal RNA, internal transcribed spacer 2, and large subunit ribosomal RNA". The stretch from base 1 to 120 matches the Rfam family "5.8S ribosomal RNA", at positions 35 to 154 of the family's 154-position model. The record is from RNAcentral.
GAUGAAGAACGCAGCGAAAUGCGAUAAGUAGUGUGAAUUGCAGAAUUCAGUGAAUCAUCGAAUCUUUGAACGCACAUUGCGCCCCUUGGUAUUCCAUGGGGCAUGCCUGUUCGAGCGUCAUUUGUACCUUCAAGCUCUGCUUGGUGUUGGGUGUUUUGUCUCGCCUCUGCGUGUAGACUCGCCUUAAAACAAUUGGCAGCCGGCGUAUUGAUUUCGGAGCGCAGUACAUCUCGCGCUUUGCACUCAUAACGGCGACGUCCAAAAGUACAUUUUUACACUCUUGACCUCGGAUCAGGUAGGGAUACCCGCUGAACUUAAGCAUAUCAAUAAGCGGAGGA